CCCGGCCGCCCCUUCCCGUGGCACGAGAUAAUUUUUGCCCUUUUUUUUUUUUUCACAGCAGACCCGACGGCGAGAGGUCCUCCUACGUCCUACGAGCGCGAGGGGCGACUUCGGCAUCUCACCGCAGAGAAGGCGUUAGGAUCUAUCACGCCAGCUACCUGGAAGACACCAAUUUUCCUGUAACGCGUUCCGGAAGGUUAAAUAAUUUAAUGUUCUUCAACUAAAAAUAACACCC
Molecule: long non-coding RNA, 235 nt
Organism: Oxyura jamaicensis (ruddy duck)
Lineage: Eukaryota; Metazoa; Chordata; Aves; Anseriformes; Anatidae
Exons: 2
Source: RefSeq, a predicted model, not a curated record